Molecule: non-coding RNA, 93 nt
Filed under: uncultured Ruminococcus sp.
Lineage: Bacteria; Bacillati; Bacillota; Clostridia; Eubacteriales; Oscillospiraceae
Description: TPP riboswitch (THI element)
Rfam family: TPP riboswitch aptamer (THI element)
About the family: Vitamin B(1) in its active form thiamin pyrophosphate (TPP) is an essential coenzyme that is synthesised by coupling of pyrimidine and thiazole moieties in bacteria. The previously detected thiamin-regulatory element, thi box was extended, resulting in a new, highly conserved RNA secondary structure, the THI element, which is widely distributed in eubacteria and also occurs in some archaea.
Source: RNAcentral
CGCAGGGGUGUCCGCGCGAAAGCGGGCUGAGAUUAGGAUGGACGAUUCCUUGACCCUUUAACCUGAUACGGAUAAUGCCGUCGUAGGGAGCCU